CUACGGGGGGCUGCAGUGGGGAAUAUUGCACAAUGGACGGAAGUCUGAUGCAGCAACGCCGCGUGGAGGAUGACACAUUUCGGUGCGUAAACUCCUUUUAUAUAGGAAGAUAAUGACGGUACUAUAUGAAUAAGCGCCGGCUAACUCCGUGCCAGCAGCCGCGGUAAUACGGAGGGCGCAAGCGUUACUCGGAAUCACUGGGCGUAAAGAGCGUGUAGGCGGAUAGAUAAGUCAGGAGUGAAAUCCUAUGGCUCAACCAUAGAACUGCUCUUGAAACUGUCUAUCUAGAAUAUGGGAGAGGUAGAUGGAAUUUCUGGUGUAGGGGUAAUAUCCGUAGAGAUCAGAAGGAAUACCGAUUGCGAAGGCGAUCUACUGGAACAUUAUUGACGCUGAGACGCGAAAGCGUGGGGAGCAAACAGGAUUAGAUACCCUAGUAGUC
This 439-nucleotide ribosomal RNA is filed under the name uncultured bacterium. RNAcentral describes it as "partial 16S ribosomal RNA". It matches the Rfam family "Bacterial small subunit ribosomal RNA", at positions 339 to 795 of the family's 1533-position model. The record is from RNAcentral.